UUAACCAUAUGGCCGGCCUUAGGGUGUUGUCUGGGCUUUUGGGCUUUUGUGAAUUAAGUUGUCAUACAACUUAAGUCAAUGGGCUUGACGUUCGAAGCCCAUUGGGCCUAAACGUCCAAAACUAUCCCGAGGUCUUUAACGAACUUAUUCGCUUGAUUAAUUAACAUAUUAAUUAAUCCUUGCCAUAAAUAAUUAAACCAUUUAAUUAUUCUUACUCAUCUCCAUU
This 226-nucleotide long non-coding RNA is filed under the name Malus domestica (apple). RNAcentral describes it as "long non-coding RNA (MDOM_LNC011514)". The record is from RNAcentral. Lineage: Eukaryota; Viridiplantae; Streptophyta; Magnoliopsida; Rosales; Rosaceae.